Molecule: ribosomal RNA, 1160 nt
Filed under: Opamata lipcowa
Lineage: Eukaryota; Metazoa; Arthropoda; Insecta; Hemiptera; Cicadellidae
Description: 16S ribosomal RNA
Source: RNAcentral
UUUUUAAUUUUAAGGGUAUUUUAUUUUUUAUAUGAUUUAGUUUUAUUAUAAAUUAUUUUUUUUUUAUCUUUAAAUAUUUUUUAAUUAUUUUUUUGGAAAAAUUAGUUAGUACCUUUUGUAUCAGGGUUAUUCAAUUUUUUUAUAGAUUUUCUAUUCCCGAAACUUAAAGGUCAAUURAUCAAUGAUUUUAUUUAUUACAUAAAGUAAUUUAAUUUUUUAAUUGUAAAUAUAUUUUAUUCGUUUUUAGUUAUAUCUGGUUAAUUGGGAUUAAAUUUAAUUUUUAAAUUAUUUUUGAUUUAUAUUUAAUAAGGGAUAAUCUUUAUUAAUUUUUAUAAUUUGUUUUUUUUUGUAUUUUUAUUAUUUUUUAAAUUUUAUAUUUAGUUAUUAACAUAUUUUAAUACCUAUAUAUUAAUUUUUUUUAAUUUAUUUUUUUUACCAAUUUUAUUUAAUAAAUUUUUAUUUAAAUUUAAUUUUGAUUAAAUUAGUAAAAUUUUAAAUUGAUUUUUAAUGAAUUCAACAUAUUUAAUUUUCAACUGUUUAUCAAAAACAUUUUUUUUAGGUUAUAUUAAAAAUAUAUUCUGCCCUAUGAAUAUUUAAAUGGCUGCAGUAUUCUAACUGUACAAAGGUAGCAUAAUAAUUAGUUUUUUAAUUGAGGACUGGAAUGAAAGAUUAAAUGAGAAAUUAGUUUUAUUAAUUUUAAAUUUUAAAUUUUAUAUUUAGGUAAAAAAGCUUAAUUAAUUUUUUGGGACGAAAAGACCCUAUAGAACUUUACUUUGUAAAUGUGAAUUAUUAUUAAUUUUAUAAUAUUUUUAUUGAAAAGUUUUAUUGGGGUGAUAAUUAAAUUAAUCUUUAAUUAAUUUUUUCAUUAAUUUAUGUUUUUUUUUGAAUUAUUUUUUAAUUACAAGAAAAAGUUACCUUAGGGAUAACAGCGUAAUUUUUAUGGAGAGUUCAUAUCUAUAUAAUAAGUUUGCGACCUCGAUGUUGAAUUAAGAUAAAUUAAGGAAGAAGUAUUUUUUAUAUUAAGUCUGUUCGACUUUUAAAUUCUUACAUGAUUUGAGUUCAAACCGGUGUAAGCCAGGUUGGUUUCUAUCUUAAAAUAUUUAUAUUAGUUUAGUACGAAAGGACCAAUUAAUUUGUUUUUAAUAUUUUAUUUAAAUUAA